CGUUCGCUGCACUUCAGCUUUUGACUCGGCGAGAGAUAGGAGGGGGACAUCACGGCUGACAAAUUGGAGAGAGACGAUCGCUCCCAUUUUUUACCCAGAGACAGCUGGGUGUGCCUGUGGCGAGCGGAGAGAGGGGGACAGAGCAACUACAGAGGAGGGAGACACAGGGCCUGACAGAUUGGAGAGAGAUGGGAGCUAAGGGUUUGGACUGAGUGAGAGAGAUAUUUAGGUAGUUGCUCUGACAGGAUCUAUGGGAUUUUCUCCCAUUUUAGAGAGAGAUGGACAGCGAGAGAGAUACAGAGCAGAAAACAUAGGUGUGUGUAUUCUUGGUCUUCCGAAAACGCUAGAAACCUAAAACAUUCUCAGCUGCUCUGCAACGGGUUGGCGACUUCGAUCAUACGUCCUACAGUCCGCAUCGAUCUCUUCCAUGUCUGCUUCGUGAUCCCUUCGAUCCCUUCAAGAGGGAGCAAAACUUAUCUGGCACUUGAAAGCGAGGCAAUCAUGGUUAGAUUUCAUGUGGUUCAUGAUAGACUCGGUCAGGCUUUUGAAGGUUUGGCUGAUGAACUUUGCCUAUCAGAUGAAGUUAAGGAACAGGUAUAUACAUAUUACAUAUAUGUCCCUUUUGUCCGUUUUCAAGCUAAUGCUUCCCAUGUGUUAUUUCAUUUUUUUCACACGGACAGAUCUUUUAUCAAUUCAAACUAUUUUCGCUUUGCUGCACAUGAUUGAUAUAAGUCCGUCUAAGUUUGACGAGAUUCAGAGUACUUCUUAUGAAAUUGGUCACACGGACCACUACGGGGAAGACAUCCUCCAAACCCUCUACAUAGCAUUGAGAAUCUGAGAUUGGAGGUGAUAAGUAGCUGGUUUUAGCUUCUGACGCAGGCACUUGAAGAAGGAGCAAAGAUGAAUGCAUUAGUGGCGACGAACAGAAACUUUAAGUUUGCUGCUUGGCUUUUGGGAUUGGACUCCAAGCUUGAGAAAAGUUUACUUACACCAUUUAGGGAAAUCAAGAUAAUUUUGAAAAUAGUCUCCUUUAUGUAUAUCCCUUACUCUUAAUUAUAGGUUGAGUGUACUAUACCAAAAGACGAUGGCAGUUUGGCUUCAUUUGUUGGCUUCAGGGUUCAACAUGACAAUGCUAGAGGCCCCAUGAAGGGAGGAAUCAGAUAUCACCCAGAGGUUGAUCCAGAUGAGGUGAAUGCUUUGGCACAGCUGAUGACAUGGAAGACGGAGGUAGCCAACAACCCAUAUGGGGGUGCCAAAGGGGGUAUAGGAUGUAAUCCAGGGGAGUUGAGUCUUUCCAAACUAGAGCAACUCACCAGAGUUUUCACACAAAAGAUACACUAUCUUAUCGGAAUACACACCGAUGUUCCAGCACCAGAUAUGGGGAUAGGUCCACAGAUUUUAUAAAUUUGGAUCAUUUGAGGAAGCAGUUGGUUCCAUGCUGUUUUGAGAUCGAAACAAAGUGAAAGCUUUUGAUUGUGAAUUUUGCAACCGCUACCUUGCUGCUUUGUUUAGAUCGCGCUCACAUCAUAGAAUCAUAAUCUGCUCUUGCUGCUGCCUUUAAUCAAGGGGUUCUGAGCCAUUAGAUUUCAAUCAAGCCUUUGGUAUGUCCUGAACUUCAAUACAUUGUUUCCCCAUGCUUUCCAUUUUGAGACAGUGCGAUUUUAUAAUUUUUAACGUGACUGUUUGGUUAUUUCGGCUUAUAUUAUACGUUUGUUCUAAGCUUUGUUUCUCAUUCUUCAUUAUCUUUGUAACCUCUAAUUCUCCAGAGGUCAGGUAGUUCUUUCUUUCACGAUCCUUUCGUAGUUGUGCCAGCUUUGAAUAAUUUGAUCGGCGAGACAAAACAUUUCCAGCUCUCUUUUGGAAAUCAAAACACUGACUUCAGGAAGACUGACUUCAUCGUUCAUGGACUACUCCAAAACCAACCGCUCUCAAGACCAUCAAUUGCCAUGGUCACACCACAAACACCUUCUAUAUAUAUUUUCCCACCUUGACUACAAGGGCAAGAUUUGUGUUAACUACAUGUUACUUCUGUUUAUUAGGAAACCAAAACGUUAUGUUUCAUCCUGUUCAUCAUACAAUGUCUUUCAAAACCAGCUCAAUUGAAUGUAUAUAAAAACAAAGCUACAUAUCUUACCAACCCA
This is a long non-coding RNA of Pyrus x bretschneideri (Chinese white pear), 2141 nucleotides long. RefSeq lists it as uncharacterized. The record is from RefSeq and is a predicted model, not a curated record. Lineage: Eukaryota; Viridiplantae; Streptophyta; Magnoliopsida; Rosales; Rosaceae. The transcript has 9 exons.